UUCGCAAUGCCCGAAAGGGUGACGAUGCGACGCCGCGUGAGCGAAGAAGGCCCUAGGGUUGUAAAGCUCUGUCGAGGGUUAUGAAAUAUAGAUGGGUUAAUACCCCAUUUAUUUGACAAAAGCCCAAAAGGAAGCCACGGCUAACUCUGUGCCAGCAGCCGCGGUAAUACAGAGGUGGCGAGCGUUGUUCGGUAUUAUUGGGCGUAAAGAGCACGUAGGUGGUUUUGUAAGUCAGGUGUGAAAGCCUUCUGUUCAAAGGAAGAACGGCAUCUGAAACUACAGAUCUUGAGUGUAGGAGGGGAGAGUGGAACUUCUGGUGGAGCGGUGAAAUGCGUAGAUAUCAGAAGGAACGUCGGCGGCGAAAGCGACUCUCUGGCCUAUUACUGACACUGAGGUGCGAAAGUUAGGGGAGCAAACGGGAUUAGAUACCCCGGUAGUCCUAACUGUAAACGAUGGGCACUAAGUAGAGGGGUUUU
Molecule: ribosomal RNA, 476 nt
Filed under: uncultured anaerobic ammonium-oxidizing bacterium
Lineage: Bacteria
Description: bacterial SSU rRNA
Rfam family: Bacterial small subunit ribosomal RNA
Source: RNAcentral